AGUGAACGCUGGCGGCAUGCCUAACACAUGCAAGUCGAACGGCAGCACGGUAAGAUUGCUCUUUUACUGGUGGCGGCGGGCGGGCGGGUGACAAGUACAUCGGAUUCUUCUUUUUCUGGGGGGAUUUCGUAGGGCAACUGAUACUACUACCGCAUACUUUGUACGGGAGGGUUCAAGGGUGCUUGAGACCUUUGGUGUUUCAAUGAGCCGGAUCCGCGCUGCAUUAGCUAGUUGGUAAGGUAACGGCCUACCAAGGCAACGAUGCGUAGCCGAGCUGAGAGGAUGAUCAGCCACACUGGAACUGAGACACGGUCCAGACUCCUACGGGAGGCAGCAGUGGGGAAUCUUGGACAAUGGGCGAAAGCCUGACCCAGCAAUGCCGCGUGAGUGAAGAAGGCCUUCGGGUUGUAAAGCCCUUUUAUUAGGGAAGAAAAGCUGCGGAAGAAUCCGCCCAUGUCUUGACGGUACCCAAAGAAUAAGCAACGGCUAACUACGUG
Molecule: ribosomal RNA, 497 nt
Filed under: uncultured bacterium
Lineage: Bacteria
Description: partial 16S ribosomal RNA
Rfam family: Bacterial small subunit ribosomal RNA
Source: RNAcentral